Molecule: long non-coding RNA, 1448 nt
Organism: Crotalus tigris (Tiger rattlesnake)
Lineage: Eukaryota; Metazoa; Chordata; Lepidosauria; Squamata; Viperidae
Exons: 5
Source: RefSeq, a predicted model, not a curated record
UUUGGAUUAGAUUUGAGCGGCUCGCUCCGAAAAAGAACAGGCAGGGGAACGGCAGUGACGUGUAGAAAACGAAAUCAAUGACCCGAUGUGACGUUACUUCUAUUUAUAGUGGUACAUUCUACCAUAUUGGUGCCAUGUCUUCCUAUACGUGGAAAGAGGCCUAUGAGGGAUGGACUUGAGGAGAGGGAAGACUUCAAGAAACCUGCACAACCAUGUCUGGAAUAGAUGAACUAAUCCCAAUUUGAUAAAAGCUGAUAGACAACUUCUAGGAACACACAACAGGAAAGUAAUGACUGUAAAGGUCGAACAUAUCAUCUCAUGAAGGGGCAGCAGUUUGUCAAGUGUUAUGCUUUUCCAUAGGAGUGCACCCACAGUACUCUUCAGAUAACUUUAACAUAUCCUUCUCAAAAAGCUGAGUACUGGGAAGCGUCCACCAUGGCGAAAAGUGGCAACCUUCCAUAAAGAUUCAUCAUCAAUUGAUUUAGGGACAGUGACAACAGGAUGGGAACGAUCGAGGAAACUUCUGAGAUUCUUGAAUGGGAGUUAUAUGUAUCUGGGGGGAAGGAUGCUAUUCCAGAAGGCAAGAGCUGCAACAGAGAAGACAUGCUUCCUUGGUCCCACAAGGGACUUGGAGGAUACCCAUUCUGCCUGAAUGUACCAGUAGGUCAGAAAUAAUUGGAUGGCGGUUGUCCCACAGAUUAUGAGGCCCUGUGCCACAUAGGACUUUAAAGGAGAUGUCUAGCACCUUAAAGAUACACCUGGAAGCUGAGUGGCAACUAAUGCAACAUCUGGGCUGUGUUUAAAGCCAUCCAAAACUUCCACCAUUUCCUUUUCAUUCUAAACUGGGGUAACAAAAUACAAUUGUCAUGUUCACAUUAAGGGUGAUGACCAAUCCAUUAAUUUAUUUUGGCACAACACGAUGGCCUGAUCCCCAGGACAUUUAAUGUGAGGUACAUGUCAUAGCAGCAGUGCAAACCUAAAGACCAGAACUACUGUCUGUAAUGCUAUUACUGCCAUUUAAAAUGUCUGAUAGAAGAAAGAUUCUCAUUCCAUACCAAAUGUCCCUCAGUAAUAUGAUCCAGUUGACAUUUCUCUAGAAGCCCCUUUCUUUCUUUCACCCAAGUUAAUAUUGUUUUAUUUUCUUUUAUAAAACACAAGUACAACAUUAUAUAUCUGGGUAAUGACUAAACACUCUGAUGAUAUAUAUAACUUAAACUUUUAAGGCUUAAAAAAGGUUAUGUCAAUAUUAACUAUAAUUUCUGAAAUGUUAAUGUUGAUAAGUUGUUUAAAUGUUAAAUCUACACCUGAGUGUAGCAUUGAUAACAACUGCAAAAUGCUUAAAUUAUAAUUUAUAGAAUAAAGGUAUCUAUUUUGAGUUUAAUACUUAAUAUUAAGGUCUUCAUGUAUUGUUACUUGUUGUUUAUGUGUAUUAGAAAAAAGACUUCUAU